Molecule: small RNA, 2385 nt
Filed under: Arabidopsis thaliana (thale cress)
Lineage: Eukaryota; Viridiplantae; Streptophyta; Magnoliopsida; Brassicales; Brassicaceae
Description: ATSL087960
Source: RNAcentral
AUAGAAUAUAGAAAGAAUUGCUUAAAUAACUCAGCGAUCUAAAAUCAUAGUCACGAUCUACUAAAAGUAAAGUUGAGCACCCGGACCAGACAGAGGUGGCCGAGAAUCUUAUGUCAAAAGGACCAAGGAUGAUCUUUUCGGAAAGGAGGAGUAGGAGGAGUCAGACGGAAUCAAAUGAUUACGAGAUAGACAAUGAGACCAGGGAGAGCAAGAGCACUUAGACAAUUCACUUUGAGUACAGGAAAGUCUGCUGGUAGGAAUUCCUCAGGGCGUAUUACGGUUUUUCACCGAGGGGGUGGCUCGAAGCGAUUGCUGCGAAGAAUUGAUCUGAAACGAAGCACUUCCUCUAUGGGCAUUGUAGAGAGUAUAGAAUAUGACCCUAAUCGUUCUUCUCAGAUCGCUCCAGUACGAUGGAUCAAAGGGGGCUGCCAGAAAAAAAUGAACACGAUCGAGAAGUUCGCUCCGCCGCGCAAGAUCCUCGAACCUACCACGAACACCAUCAGCGGCCUCUUUUCGUUCUCUUUCCUGCCCGGGAAGGUGGAUAAAAGAAAGGUAGCUUGCUUCUCUCCUGGACUGAUGGCCGCUUAUGUAGUGGUCGGCCUUCCUACCGGAAUGCCUCCUUUGUCUUCGUCUAAGAGCGCCUUUGCUAGUAAGGGCGCAGGAAGCACAAAAACUUUAGUGAAGGACGUCUUCUUCUCUGCCUUCUCCUCUUUAAAGGCCAAGAGAGAGACUGCAUCCCUUGCCUUCGCUAGCUCUUUUGGUUUCCCAAGGAUAGCGGUAGCUGGGGCAAAGCCCGCUUUCUUCGCUCCGCGAAUGAGACAGAAAGUGAGAGGAAAAAGCACGUUCUCUCUUUGCGAGGUCCAAAAGGGGAGAACGCAUAGCAUUCUCUGGGCACAUAGGAUCAAAGGUAAAGCAGGGCUUUCUUGGCAGAGUUUUAGGCGGCAAGAUACUUUAGGGCUUGUUGGAGCUGCUGGGCAUAAAAAAUCGAAGCCGAAGACAGAUCAAGGUAACUUGCCUGCCAAGCCAAUAGGCGAAAGGGCGAAGCAACUCAAAGCUCUCCGGGGUUUGAGGGCGAAGGAUGGAGCGUGCAAAGUCGAUCGUGCACCUGUCGUGUGACCCGUUGGUCCUAAGCAAUGUCUUGCGCGAAGCGACCCACCUAGAAAGAGCUCUCCUUUAUCUGGGGGCACUAAAAUGAAACUUCGAUCAGAUGCGGGUAUAAAAUCCCGCCGCUGAGAUGUCCAGCGGAUUCCUGAGCCUUGACGAAAGGUCGGCCACCUUUUUUUUACGGAGAGCAAAAGGCCCGGGGCAUAGCAGGAUGAACCAAUGUGAAUGAGUGUAAGCUUCGUUGCCCGAACACGAUUGGUGCUGACCACACUAGGUGCUACCGCGGUAGCAAGAGAGGCCAGGCAAUGACAAUUGAGAGGUUGUCACUGAACAUUUCUAGUCACACGGGAAGAGAGGUCCAAUGGCAAGGCCAUACGCCCGUUUGGCUCCUCGCGGAGUAUAGCUCACAUCCAAAUAUCAUAUCUGAUUGGGGAACGGGGUAACACCCAUGAAGCUCCGACGGAAAGGGAAGGCCUGCCAGGCCGUAUGCCCAUGGGUGCAGGAUUCUUCGAAAAAGCGCGGGCUGACUCGGAGACCUGGGACCUUGGCUUAGCAACGAAUGAAUAUUUCUCCUCGAGCUUUCUCCGCCAGCGGCUUAUGUAGUGAUCGGCCAGCUCGCUAAGCUUCGCUUCCCUUUCCCCUUUACUUUAUUUAAUAAGGGAAGGGGGAAAGUCUUCACUUAGUAGUCGGCAUUAUAGAAGCGGUUUGUCGAGUCUACGAAGCUUUCCUUCUUGUAGUCGGCCCGUAAUGCCUCCCUUCAUUUGCUUGCCUCCUUCCUUACUUUUCAGAGAAGCAUUUUACGACUAUAAGGGGCGCUGUUCACCUUUGGAAACUUAGCUACACCGGUCACGAUAUCUUGUUGAUAUUGAUUGAGGACUUUCGCUGACUAAAUCCAUAAACCUAGAAAGUCACCGUCACUGGUACUUUUUUGACUCGAUAGGUAGGUAUUGGUGGAGCUUGCGUAAUGUAGUUGUAGUUAAGGUUGCAUUGAAGUCUUUCUUUUUUUUGAAGAUCUACUGAACAAAGGCGAACGGGGUUCCCAAGGCGGGACGUCUGGCAGAAUGCUUGGCCUCCCGCGCUGGAAGCGAGACCCGAAGGGUGAGCUUCUGGCGGUUAGCUUCUAGAACUUAUAAUAGGCAUUAGGCAUUCUGAGCUGGAAGGAGGCAAGCAAAAGGCCGACCACUCUAUCAUUUCCCAUUUCUGAUGGGAAGGCCGACCACUACACGGACUCUAUAACAAGUCAUGAGCGAUAUCGAAACCAAGCCAAAGCCUAUAGGCUUU